RNAcentral lists this ribosomal RNA (253 nucleotides) under uncultured bacterium. RNAcentral describes it as "partial 16S ribosomal RNA". It matches the Rfam family "Bacterial small subunit ribosomal RNA", at positions 524 to 776 of the family's 1533-position model. The record is from RNAcentral.
UACGUAGGGGGCAAGCGUUAUCCGGAAUUACUGGGUGUAAAGGGUGAGUAGACGGCAUGGUAAGCCAGAUGUGAAAGCCUUGGGCUUAACCCGAGGAUUGCAUUUGGAACUAUCAAGCUAGAGUACAGGAGAGGAAAGCGGAAUUCCUAGUGUAGCGGUGAAAUGCGUAGAUAUUAGGAAGAACACCAGUGGCGAAGGCGGCUUUCUGGACUGAAACUGACGCUGAGGCACGAAAGCGUGGGGAGCGAACAGG